This 76-nucleotide transfer RNA is filed under the name Lysobacteraceae bacterium. Its description in RNAcentral is "tRNA-Ala". It matches the Rfam family "tRNA". From Rfam's summary of the family: Transfer RNA (tRNA) molecules are approximately 80 nucleotides in length. Lineage: Bacteria; Pseudomonadati; Pseudomonadota; Gammaproteobacteria; Lysobacterales; Lysobacteraceae. The record is from RNAcentral. RNAcentral also lists the same sequence under 5 other names.
GGGGGAUUAGCUCAGCUGGGAGAGCGCCACGUUCGCAACGUGGAAGUCGAGGGUUCGAGUCCCUUAUCCUCCACCA